Molecule: ribosomal RNA, 253 nt
Filed under: uncultured bacterium
Lineage: Bacteria
Description: partial 16S ribosomal RNA
Rfam family: Bacterial small subunit ribosomal RNA
Source: RNAcentral
UACGGAGGGUGCAAGCGUUAAUCGGAAUUACGGGGCGUAAAGCGUGCGCAGGCGGUUUGUUAAGUCUGUUGUGAAAUCCCCGAGCUCAACUUGGGAAUUGCAAUGGAUACUGGCAGGCUGGAGUAUGGUAGAGGAAGGUGGAAUUCCCGGUGUAGCAGUGAAAUGCGUAGAGAUCGGGAGGAACACCAGUGGCGAAGGCGGCCUUCUGGACCAAUACUGACGCUCAUGCACGAAAGCGUGGGGAGCAAACAGG